Molecule: long non-coding RNA, 769 nt
Organism: Panicum hallii
Lineage: Eukaryota; Viridiplantae; Streptophyta; Magnoliopsida; Poales; Poaceae
Exons: 3
Source: RefSeq, a predicted model, not a curated record
CAACCAACAACCGUCCUGCGGAGAGCAACACAUCUCGCGUAACUACGCCGCCCCGCAGGCCGCAGCAGUUUCGGCGCGCGUCACCGGGCUCCGCCCGGUCGCCGCCGCUUGGCCGCCGCCACAGACUGGAGCCCCGGGAGGAUGAGAGAGGAAGAAGUGCGACCAAUGCAACAGGCGCCUUUCGCUUUGGAGACGCUGGCAAACAUGUUCUAGAAAGUAUUUUCUGAUUGGUGACGGAUGUUAAUAUUGCGCUCGGUUCAACCACGACAUCAGGGCCCGCCAAGCACUCAGGUGGACAAGCGGUCAAUUCCUCGCUGUCGUGCAUAAUUGUGCUUCCUCAUAUGAACUCAAGCGAAGGAAUCAUCCUGGAAAGACCAACGAAAGGAACAUGUUGGACUAUAUAUCCUUCUACUGUCACUAGUCAACCAUGGAGGGCCAGUAUUGGACGGAAAAUCUUGAAAAGCAGACCCGGCUACACCUGCUCAACACUUGGUAUCAUUGACUGAAUCGUCAGGUGCACACAAGUCUCAGCUCAGUGGAUUGGAACCGGUUUCUCAGCACGCUUCAUGUUCACACCUGCUAGCCUUUUAAGGCUUUUUUUUUGGUUAAAUGUCAAAAAAUUCAGAAGUCAGGUCUUCUCUUCCGUUGUUGUUUUAAGUCAGGUUGUUGUUUCGUCGUUUGUUCUCUGAGGCCUUCAGUUGUCAGAUAACGAGGGAAAGAGUGCAGACACUUCUGCUUUGCUCGAUUAAUCGCAGUUAAUUGUCGUAAA